This 824-nucleotide long non-coding RNA is filed under the name Nicotiana benthamiana. RNAcentral describes it as "long non-coding RNA (NBEN_LNC011007)". The record is from RNAcentral. Lineage: Eukaryota; Viridiplantae; Streptophyta; Magnoliopsida; Solanales; Solanaceae.
GUAGUCAAAAUAAAUUGUGAGUAAAUUCACCGAAUUUUAAACAGAUGAUAUUAAAGCAAAUCUCAUCUCUCCCAACAGUUGCAACGAUUGAUAAGUGCGAUGAAACUUAAGUUACAACCACUUAGGCCUAAACAAGUGAGACUUUCUAAGACUAGGUCUUAUUCAAUUAUCCUUUUUUCAUAUGGUGACCUUUUUUGUGUUAUCCAAUAUUCAAUCUCAAGGUGAAAUAGUACUCUAAUUGAUCACUCUUGUCGGCUUAAAGGUUCUUUUUUCUUUUUCAUAAUUUCAAUAAAAAAGUUUGUGGAAUGAUUUUAAUUUUUCCACUGAAAUCUCACAUUCUUUUUGAGGAAUCUUGUCACGUUGCUUUUAAAGGUCCGUGGAACCUAUAGCCAUAAACUGAUUUACUAUUUAAAUUUAAUAGAUUUAACUUUUAAAAUAUUAGAAUUGAACCUAUCAUAUUUUAAAAGUUAUGAGUUCAUAUUUAUUAUAUUUAUAAUUUUUAACGAAUUUUUACCAAUACAUUUUACAUUGCAUCUAAAGCGAUGGUUCAAUUGAACCCUUCAUUGGCACAUUACAUUUGCUCCUGCUUAUAGGUUACGGAUUUGAGCCAUAAAUUCAUUUACUUAUACUUUUAUCCGAGUAGAUCGCCCACAUAAUCCUCUCUUUUUUAAUAUAGCUUUUGCGUGAACACAAAAUACUUUGUACAUCAACAAACUUUUUUUAUCAUGUUGCUUUCAAGAUCUUGAGUGGAUGAAGCAGAUAGAUGUAGGAGAACAAUUUAAAGAUAGAAGACCUUUAAAUGUAAGAAGGAAAGAGAUUUUGUU